AGAGUUUGAUCCUGGCUCAGAAUCAACGCUGGCGGCGUGCGUAACACAUGCAAGUCGAACGCGAAUGCGGGGGCAACCCCGCUAGUAGAGUGGCAAACGGGUGAGUAACACGUGGAUAACCUACCCAUGGGUGAGGAAUAACUCGUCGAAAGGCGGGCUAAUACCGCAUAACAUUCUUGUAACACAUGUUGUGAGAAUCAAAGCCCCAAAAGGGCGCCUGUUGAGGGGUCCGCGGCUGAUUAGCUAGUUGGUAGGGUAAUGGCCUACCAAGGCGACGAUCAGUAGCCGGCCUGAGAGGGUGUACGGCCACACUGGAACUUAGACACGGUCCAGACUCCUACGGGAGGCAGCAGUGGGGAAUUUUGCGCAAUGGGCGAAAGCCUGACGCAGCAACGCCGCGUGGGUGAUGAAAUCCUUCGGGAUGUAAAACCCUGUCAGCUGGGACGAAACGUCCCGCAAGGGAAAUUGACUGUACCAGCAGAGGAAGCCCCGGCUAACUCCGUGCCAGCAGCCGCGGUAAUACGGAGGGGGCAAGCGUUGUUCGGAAUUACUGGGCGUAAAGGGCGUGUAGGCGGUUGGGUAAGUCAGUUGUGAAAGCCCCAAGCUUAACUUGGGAAUUGCAACUGAAACUGCUCAGCUAGAGUUCAGGAGAGGAGAGCGAAACUCCCAGUGUAGCGGUGAAAUGCGUAGAUAUUGGGAGGAACACCGGUGGCGAAGGCGGCUCUCUGGACUGAAACUGACGCUGUGGCGCGAAAGCUAGGGGAGCAAACGGGAUUAGAUACCCCGGUAGUCCUAGCCGU
This 800-nucleotide ribosomal RNA is filed under the name uncultured bacterium. Its description in RNAcentral is "bacterial SSU rRNA". It matches the Rfam family "Bacterial small subunit ribosomal RNA", at positions 8 to 803 of the family's 1533-position model. The record is from RNAcentral.